UCUCCUGUCGCGCGAGAUGUCACGUCUGUCGGGAACGUGCAAGUCGAACCCAGUGCUCGGCACGCGGGAUGAACAACAAAAUCUUAUUUCCAGGUUAAACAGAGGUGGAUCUGACACUCGCGGUACUACAGUGUCUUUCAAAAGCACACCUACCGUGACCUCACUGCAAUGAUGCGCACAACACUACCAGCAUUAAUUCAUGUCAGCCUUCCACACACCUGACGGGAGGACAGGCUCACCCCCAAGGCUCCCGGCGCUACAGGUCUUCACAGAAUUCCUGCUAGUCCACUCAGACUUUGGAAACCCAGAACAUGCAAUUCUGCUCUUGCGGCAGACCUGGGGUCAGUCGUUAGUCACCGUCGUACUCCAGAGGACAGACCUGGGGUCAGUCGUUAGUCACCAUAACAAAAAAACAAAUAAAUUACAAC
This is a long non-coding RNA of Electrophorus electricus (electric eel), 428 nucleotides long. RefSeq lists it as uncharacterized. NCBI's taxonomy places the organism in Eukaryota, Metazoa, Chordata, Actinopteri, Gymnotiformes, Gymnotidae. The record is from RefSeq and is a predicted model, not a curated record.